RNAcentral lists this unclassified non-coding RNA (88 nucleotides) under Pseudomonas extremorientalis. The record is from RNAcentral. Lineage: Bacteria; Pseudomonadati; Pseudomonadota; Gammaproteobacteria; Pseudomonadales; Pseudomonadaceae.
GUGGGAGGGGGCUUGCCCCCGAUGGCGGUGGAUCAGUCAGCUACUCCAAAUACUGACACUCAGCUAUCGGGGGCAAGCCCCCUCCCAU